RNAcentral lists this ribosomal RNA (321 nucleotides) under uncultured Anaerolineaceae bacterium. RNAcentral's name for it is "bacterial SSU rRNA". It matches the Rfam family "Bacterial small subunit ribosomal RNA", at positions 1047 to 1382 of the family's 1533-position model. Lineage: Bacteria; Bacillati; Chloroflexota; Anaerolineae; Anaerolineales; Anaerolineaceae. The record is from RNAcentral.
GGCUGUCGUCAGCUCGUGUCGUGAGAUGUUCGGUUAAGUCCGCUAACGAGCGCAACCCUCGUCGUAUGUUAUAUGUGUCAUACGAGACUGCCGGUAAAAAGCCGGAGGAAGGUGAGGAUGAUGUCAAGUCAGCAUGACCUUUAUAUCCAGGGCUACACACACGCUACAAUGGUCUGUACAAUGGGUAGCCAAGCCGCGAGGCGGAGCCAAUCCUGAAAGCAGGCCUCAGUUCAGAUUGCAGUCUGCAACUCGACUGCAUGAAGCCGGAGUUGCUAGUAACCGCAGGUCAGCAAUACUGCGGUGAAUACGUUCCCGGGUCUU